RNAcentral lists this non-coding RNA (19 nucleotides) under Rattus norvegicus (Norway rat). Lineage: Eukaryota; Metazoa; Chordata; Mammalia; Rodentia; Muridae. The record is from RNAcentral.
UUGAAAGAUGAGGAGGGAC